AAACUCUGGUUUCUCUUCAAAGCGUACAAAUCUUUCGUCUUUUACUAAAGAUUUCCGUGGAGAGAAGCGGUAUUGAGUUUUUACAGAAUUUUUUGAAGCCUUGUUCUUCCGACGCU
Sphenodon punctatus (tuatara) is the source of this 116-nucleotide small nuclear RNA. Its record names the gene U5. It matches the Rfam family "U5 spliceosomal RNA". From Rfam's summary of the family: U5 RNA is a component of both types of known spliceosome. Lineage: Eukaryota; Metazoa; Chordata; Lepidosauria; Sphenodontia; Sphenodontidae. The record is from Ensembl.